Molecule: long non-coding RNA, 5655 nt
Organism: Bombus huntii
Lineage: Eukaryota; Metazoa; Arthropoda; Insecta; Hymenoptera; Apidae
Exons: 3
Source: RefSeq, a predicted model, not a curated record
CCGUAUCUCGUGCGUAUUCUUGCAAAUCAUUGCCGAGUAAACAAAAAGAUAGUAAUCGAGAGAAGAAAACAUGAGGAGGACAUCGCUAUUUGCGCUGAAAGUGGGGGACUAGAAAACUGGAGAGAAAAAUAGACGAGCGUAGAAGCGAGCGAGAUUUUUAAUUCUUUGACGAAGAUCGUUUUAAACUAUUCUUUUAGAAAUCUUUUGGUUAGGUUCCUUGAAUAAAGACUGGUCGAUACUUUUUUUUUUUUUUUAAAUAAAAUGGAGUAACUUAGGAGAAUUUACUGUGAAUAAGUAAGAUGGAAUUUAAGGAAGAAUAAAAAAAAAAGAAAAGUAUAAUAUUCCAUUAGGGUUAGUAAAUGCAAAGCGAAAUUCUACUAUUAAAAAAUUAUGCAACGGCGAUGUCCAACGAUUACGAUGACCACGAGCGAGGAAAAAUGUUGCGCGAUACGUUAAAUUUAGCAGUCGAUGGUCAUUCCGAUAGUGAAAACGGUACGUGCUCGAAGGAAUUUUAGUGGAAUUCUACACACUACAAUGAGUAGUAAACCGAAAUAGAGGGUCAUUACCUUGACCGUAAGGAAUAGAGGCGCAAUAAAACUGGCAUUGAAAAUAAUACAUGUAUCGAACUAUCGGACUGUGUUUGCUGUUGUGUCGUUAACACAGAAUUCAGUUCAUGCGUCAAACACAGAACUUUGUGUAUCUCGAAAAAAAAAAAAAAAAAAAAAUAACACGCUACUUUCAUAAUCAUCGACUCACAUAAGAUGUACUACUGUGAAUAACAGAACGAAAUUAUCAUGGUUAGCAAACUGCGUAUGUUAAUUAUGCAAACAGUAGAUUUCCUAACUAUCACUAAGAAAAAAACACCAUUAUAAUCGUCAUAAGAAGACUGUAAAUAUUCAUGCAAAUUUUUUCAAAGACAGUCAUAAAAAGUAUAACUCGCAUAUACGCGAUACUAUAUUGUAUUUUCUAAAUGUCAUAAACCUAGGCGUUAGGUAUUUUGCUUCUACGCUCAUUGUGACGUAUUUUUGCAUAUUUACGUUCGAGAUAAAUACACGAUUUGCCUAAUCAUCAAGAACAAAGAAACAAACACAUUGCAUCUCUCAACUAUAGCAACUUCGCUUCUCGUAACCGCGAUCGAUUGCUAUUAAUAUUGUUGUAUCGAUUGCUUCUAUUAUUAUCGGAUUGUUAUCAUGUUACAUAACGUGGUAUUAUCAUGUAUAUCAUGUAUGCAUAAAAUUUGAUUAUCGAAUAAAAUAGAAUACGAGUUUAUCAAAAUUUUGGAUAAAUAUUUCGAAGUAUGCACUCGAUCAAAUUUCCAAUAUUAACGUCUCGUUAGCUCUAAUGUUUUUAAGUACGCGCCUAUAGUUAUUAAUCCUUGUUAAAGAGAUAAUUAAUUCUUGAUAUAGCGAUCCAUUCUUGAUCUAAUUUCUUAUUCAGUUAAUUCUCGCUAAAAAUAGUAAGUGGCUAAAAGUCUUCAACGUAGUAACAUGGUAGAACGAUGUCGAUAAUCGUUGUUGAUUAAUAAUUAUUAUUAUCGCAUUGAAAACUAGAUUGUACUCUGUUAUAUUAGAUUUUCUUUCAAAAUCACGCGAUAACGAUAACAAUAACGUGACUUAAAACACGUUUAUGAAUAAAAAAACACAAAUUCUUUUUCUAAAAUUCCUUUGAACGGUACAAAUUCCUCUCGGAAUUUCCUUCAGCUUCUAACAGUUCGGCUUUCGAAAAUGAAAAAUGAAGAUUUCUUUCGUUAUCUCUCAGAAUCUCAGAAUAUUUACUGUACCUUUGAGAUUUAUUUUCAAAAUACAAAAGUAUCUUUCUUAAGGUAUCUCAAGGUAUCUCAAGGUAUUUCUUAUCUGCUUCUUUCCUCGAGUUUUGCUCGUAAAAGGAAAGCCUUUAAAAAUUUCUGCCAUCGUCACUCAAGAGUUUGACCUUUUACGGUACAUUCGAAAUUUAACUUGUUUCUUGAUUAGCCAAUUCACGUGACUCUAAAAUGUCAGUGACAUGUUAAUAAAUUAUAUGCGUAGGUCGUACGAUAAAACCUGCCUAACAUUUGUAAUACCUUUGCAAGUUACGGUUAUCAUCGCAAAACGUGUAACCAAACGCGAUUUCGUUUUACAAUUUCGAUUCUGUAACCUUCAGUCGCAAAUUCUCGCCAAUUUCAACGGAUUCGUCGAUCGAUUAUUUUGUUAAGACGCGUAUCAGAAGACCCGUGCAAGUAACUUCAGAGAUUUUAUUUCUUCAGAUCGAAAAUAUAACUCCAGAUAGGAUUACAAUUUUUCGUUUACGUUUUCGAAUACAAGAAAAAGACGUAUCUUCUAAUAUUUGUCACACCGUGAUACAGUAUUUGCACCUAGAUUAGCCGAGUAAUCAGAUAACUCGCUAGCUCGACGAAAACAUGUAACAAAUAACGUCCACUUAAUCUCGCUGUUUUGCAAUGGAAAAAAUCAUGGAUUAGAUUACGUGAAUUAGGUUUGUAAAUAAAAUGGCUCGUUUCCACAAUAAUACUAUCAAUCUUUAAUAAUAAAAUAAUUUAUUAAGAAAUGGAAAAGUUACGUGUAACAUAGUAUACUCGACUUUGUUAAUGUCAUUUAUUAAUAAUGAUAAUUUAUAGACUAUGUCACCUGAAAAACUUUAUUAAUAAUAUCAGUUCAAUCGCUUAAUCGUACAUUUUCAAUGAAAUGAACAAUUUUAUUUUGAACAAUUUUCAAUGUGAAUUCGCCAACGUAUUGAUUAACAAUUUAAAAUAGUAAUUUUGUUUUGCAAAUAUUUUUUUUAUUCUUUAUUUAUUUACAUUUUACAAUUUGUCCAGUAGGACAUUUGGUAAAAUAUUAUAGCUUAGUGAUAUAGCAAUAUAGCAUGUGGAUGGCUACCCCCAGUGGGAUACCAUCUUCAAAUUUUUGCAAAUAUGUAUAAAAAUACCACCAUAGUUUGGAACUUGCUCGCAAUAAAAGUCACUGAAAUUUUAUGGCUAUUGAUAGUUUCGUGCAAAGCAGGCCAACCUCGUGUAUAUCAAUCGCCUGACAUUGGCACGAUGACUAAUGGAGCCAUUUAAACGAGACUGAAAGCAUUUGGAUUCGUCCGUUGGAUCGUUGGAUUAUCUUCGUCUCAUAAACCAAAAAUAUUUCUUCCUCGCUAUUUUCCUUUAAUACUCAGAAUACUAGCAAACGCGCCAUAGUACGUUCGAAACGAAGACAUUCGGAAAGACCUGGGAUUACCAACGGUCAAAGAGGAGAUUAACAGAAGUGCAAGAAGGUACAGAGAAAGAAUAGCAACGUACCCGAACCGGCUGGCAGCGGAAACGGUCGGCGCAACAAAUAUAAAAAGGAAACUAAAAAGCAAACACCCAACAAAUCUCACAAAGGACAUAACCCAACGUGCAAACACUCACCGCACUAAAGAAAUAAAUCAAUCAAAUUCGAAAAUGGUAUGCCACUGGGGGUAGCCAUCCACAUGCUAUAUUGCUAUAUCACUAAGCUAUAAUAUUUUACCAAAUGUCCUACUGGACAAAUUGUAAAAUGUAAAUAAAUAAAUAAAUAAAAAAAAAUUAUUUUCCUUUCCUUCACGCCAUAGUUAAUGUCCAAAUGCAAUUUUUCUUUUCUCUCUAAUCGUUUUUUAAUCUCAUAACGAUUAUAUAUUUUUCUUUUAACGAUCAGGAUUACUAGAUACCUUUAUUUCCAUUCUUUUCGUCAAGAUUAUUGAUUCUCUCUUUACUGGACGAGGCUUCUAAUGGAAAGUUUCUCGAUCAUCCUCAUCGCUAUCGUUGCUCGUGAUAUCACUACAGAGACGAACAUGAACGAUUCCAUUCAUCGAUCGUAUGUGGGAAUCGUCAGAAGGAAACAAAAUCAAGCCGAUUCGUACAAUUUACCAGUUUCUAGUCUAUUCCGCUCUAUUUUUAAACGAGUCUCGGUCUUUGAAACGAGCUUUUUAAACGCCUUUGAGUGUUUACGAAAAAAGAAUCAACCGAAUAAAAAUGUACGAUCUAUCGACUUAUAAUUAGUAUCAUUUUCGAUUAAAUUUCUUUGUACUUUAGAUAAAGAUAUCUUCAAAUUUUUUCAACUGGUAAACUGAUAAGCAAGACGUUGUAUAACAAUGUGAAAAAUCUGCAUGUCAAUAUCGAGCGAAUGCAUUUUUUCGAAAGUCUCUCUCGCGUUACACUUUGACGAAUCGCCUGCUUCUACUCGCAACAUCUCGGAAACUUUCCGUCGUUCGCACGAUUAUCGAUGCGCUUGUUUUUUAAUCGCUAGUCUUAUCUACGCGCCACAAUUCGUAAUUCGCCAUCUGUCUAUUUGAAAUUCGCAGGCUGUUACGCAGGUCGUGCAACAUGUGUAUGCAACACACGUUCGAGAAGAAAAUUAGAAUGCAAAUGUAUCGGGACAAAUUUGAAUACAAUAGCAGUACAUGUUAAGAGAAAGUUGAUAGGUGGUAUUUUUCAUCUUGAUUAUAGCACAUCAAAGGUAUCUUCAUGGAAAUAUUAUCGACGUCUCGAUCAAAAUCGUAUUGAUGCCACUAUUAUCGAUCUACGUAAAUUUUUAUCAAUCCGAUCCUAACGUUAGGUACUGUAAUACAUCAAUAAUACUUAAACUAUCUUCCAAUUAACACAAGACAAUAUAUAAUAAUAAAAUAUAAUAAAUAAAAAUUUGGAAUAAAAUUCUUUGGAACUUUAAUGAAAAAAAAAAUUAUUAUUCAUAUUACUGCUCGUUCCACAUACUGCAUCGCUUAUAGAAUGAAUAUUAAAAAUACUAUUCGUAGAACAAAAUCACAUAAAAAGUUAAUAAAACGUUGAAGAAACGUCACUGGCGAAACGUCAUCGGCAUGCAACUUUGCCAAGAAAAGGCAGUUGACUUUUCUCACGUUUUUCGAUGUUUUCGACAGUAAAAUGAAACUGUGACCAUAAGAUGGAAUAUCGUAUGAUCAUGAAGAUUCGCGCACGUGAUGAACGAGGAUCGCAAAUAAUGACGUGACAACACGAGGAAGAAUGCGAAUGGCGACACGUGCUGCACGUGGACGAUAGUGUUACAUGCAUGAUUGCAGGUAUCACGCAGCUAAUCCGCUGAUAACUGCCGUGACCAGCCUCCGCUGCUUCGUUCAUUGUAAAUAGGAACACGCGUAACUUGAUAAAAUUCCCUUGUGUGUGAACGCCGACGGAAGCGGAAAAAGAAACGCGAUACUUGUGAUUAAACUGUCGCCGUUUAUCGAUGCAAUUUUCAAAAAUCUUUUCUAGCCUUCGAAACUUCGAUAGUGACUUAAUCUUAGAAAUAGUUAUUAUCUUCAACAUCGAUUUUAAAUUUUCAGUUGGAAAUGAUAAACAUUUUCUGCUUAAUUAUUAUUCAUGUAACCAAAACAGAUACGAGUACGUGUUUAAUGAGAAGUAUCUCAUCAAUCUAAAAUGAGCGACUCCUAACUAUUCCUCGUUAAAGUAUUUUUGUUAGGUCGUCCGAAAAGUUUCUUUCGUUUUAUAAGGAAAUGAUGGAUGCUCAACAUUUUUCGUUUCAUAUUAUUUUAUCGAAUUACUGAAAAUUCUCAACACGAGAAUUGAUUGUAAUUUUAAUAAAUAAAUAAAAAAAGAAAUAUUAUUUUAUCGAAUUACUGAAAAUUCUCAACGCGAGAAUUGAUUGUAAUUUUAAUAAAUAAAUAAAUAAAUAAAUAAAUAAAAAA